Long non-coding RNA from Passer domesticus (house sparrow), 7949 nucleotides. RefSeq lists it as uncharacterized. NCBI's taxonomy places the organism in Eukaryota, Metazoa, Chordata, Aves, Passeriformes, Passeridae. The transcript has 4 exons. The record is from RefSeq and is a predicted model, not a curated record.
AGACAGAAAAAUUAAACAACUUGAACAUGCUUGAAAAAAUCUUGAACAAAAUUCCUGUACAGGGCAGAGGGUAUCAUGAAUACAAAUUAUCCAUUUUUUUUUCAUUCCACAAAAAGUAAAUUGUAACUGUCAUUUUGUAAGACACAAAGGACUCAGUCUACAACUUAAACUUACUCUUUUUAAAUAUAGAUUUAUUUUUAUUUUGUUUUGCAACAAAAGCACUGUGAGCCUUAAUGAGUUAUAAACAUAAACAGGCCAUAAACAAAAUCUCCGAGUAACUUGAAACACAUUGGAUUCUGAAGUUUCUUUAUAAAGAGUUUUGGCACAUAGAACAUUAAAAUUUCCAUUAAAAAUAUUGAGGCUCCUAAAUAUCUGAAUUUCUGACUUCUGUUUUCCUAAAAUCUUUAGAAAGAGCUCGAUACCACUGCUGACUUGAAAUAUUGGCCAUUAUUUUCCUUUCUUGAAAUACAUCUCAUUUAGGGAGACUCUCAAAGUAUCUACAGUGAGAUGAAGUUUACUUCACCACAAUUAUGGUCAUCAUAAAGAUUACCUUUAUAAAAACAAGCAUUAUUAAGCAACCUUCAACAUGCUUUGUAGUCACAAUAAGAUCAUUGUAAAUAUCUUUGUAAGAGUCAACCUGAGAUACUGUUAAAGUCAUGCUCUGGAUUUCUGUAGCAGCUUCUCAUUCAGUUAAUGUUCUGAUUUGGAUUUAAGCUUUGAUAAAGAAAAUUAAAGGUGAAAAAUGGUCUGUCUGGGGAUAAAAAAACUCCCAAAUAAACAAAACUGGGAAAAGAGUCCAUAACAAAACCAAUAUUCCUUGAAAAUUAUGGCUUGAUUUUAUAUUUGACAUGGAAGUCACUUGUAAGCACCUGCUAACACUACUGAAACAAAGCAAAGCAAAAUAACUCAAAAAAACAACUAAAAAGGGAAUGUCAACAAGUUCAGGCAUGCAAACUUGCUUAACUUUCUUGUUUAAAUUAUUUUCACCCUGCUGUUUCAAUGCAGAUACAUGUCUAGUUUCCCUCCAGGGGGAAAGUAUCUAUGUUCAUAUUUCAAAUAUCUGGCAAGAUCUUUGUAUAUUCUGAGUUUUAUCACCAGGAUAAAGACACAUUCUCUUUGCAGAGACAAAUUUUGAAAUAACCAAUACAUUAACGAUAUGUAAGAGACAAUGGAAAAAAAGCAAAAUUAAUUUAGAUUUCUGAUUACACCUUAAAGAAAAUGUCUGAGCUUAAUCUGGCAAUAAUGCCAGUAGAAAAGCUGAAAGUCACAUAUUUGGUGAAAACAAAACUGUUUAUUGCAGACACAUAUUAUAGAGGAGGGCAGUGGCUGCCAAGCAUAUAAAUUAGUUAAGAGUAAUCUAGAUGUAUUUCUGGAGGGAAUGAUUGAAGGCGUAGUAAGAAAGCUGAAAAUGGAUUUGGAUCAGCAACAACAUCAACAAAAAGAGGCCUGCUAUGUAGAUAACAUUUUUCAUGUUCUUAAAAUUUCUGAUAUUCUUAUCUUGGCACAGCAGGAGUACAUAGUACUUAAUUGAAUUCUGAAGACUUACCAAGAAGGUGUGUGCAAAGAAACAUGCACUGAAUUUCUGUUGAACUACUGAAACACAAUAGAGCAGUUGUAGUGAGUUUACAUGGCUGCAGGGGAGACUUUUGUGACAAACUGCUGUUUGGAAGUUUCCUCCGUGUCUGGCAGAGCCAGUGCCUGGUGCUCUGAAGAUGAAUGUGCUGCUGGUCAAGGCUGGGCCAAUUAGAAAUGGUGGUAACAUCUCUGUGAUAACAGAUUUAAGAUGAUGGAAAAAAAAAUCACAGAUAUAAUUGAGGCCAAAGGAGAGAGGAGUGAGAACAUGUGAGAAGGACAACUCUGCAGACAGCAAGAGGAACCAUUAAGUGUGCUGAGGCCCUGCUUCCCAGGAAAUGUCCAAACAUCACUUGCUGGUGACUGAUGGAGAGAAAAUAAUUUGCAGCCUUCUUAACACAGGAACAAUUUCAGCAGGAGCCCAUUGUGGUACCUGCCAGCAAGGUUUUCACCUUGCAAAACCAUGAAGCCACAGCAGACCUCCAGGUGCAAUAAACAUGACAAAUUCUUGGUGGUAGCUCUGGGUAAAAAGUCCUCAGUCUUCACAUGCAGAAAGCACUUGGAAAUGCAGUAGACAUGUGAGUCUUGGCUGUUAAUGCAAAGUAUGUGCAUAAAAUUUACAGAGUUUAAUCUUCUGUUGAGCUUGUGAGAUUCAGAGCACUGAAGGUUGCAGGGUAGAAGCCAAAGAUUUAAUUUGCACUUUCUAUUGAGCACCUAAAUGGAAUUCAGAUUGAUUUGUAGGAUUGAAUUGGAUUGAGUUCAAUAUUGUAAUUUGCAGCUACACCAGGAAAAACUCAGAAACUGUGGUGGUUCUCCAUGCAAGGAUCAUGGCUGUACAGGGCAGAUUGGUGACCAAGGACAAUAAAAUACACAGGGCAUGAACAAUGGGCACAAAAGACUCAAGCUGGGCUGGGAGCUUCCCUCUAGUGUCAGAAGCAUGUGCACAUGGGCCCAGACUGAGAAUUCUGGGUGAACACAGUCCUGGGUUUAGGAUUUUCACCUCUACCAAGUGGGGGCCAAGUGGAGCAAGCAUCCGCCCUUGAGCACCCUCUUUGUUCUGUGUUUCAACACUGAAAAAUGGAUAUGAGGAUUGCUCCCUAUCUGCUCUGAGGAGUUUGUCUACCUUUGUGGUUAUUUCCACAUCUGCAAAAUUAGGACAACCACUUCUAGACAUGAUUAAAAGCAGCCACUUUUCGUACAAGAUAUUAACAAGGCACAUAUUACUAUAAUUUUUGAGGUGCACUGUUGGUAUUUUUAAAGUAAUACGUUUCAGCCUUGAAUAAAUAGAGAAGAUAGUAGAUUAACACUUACCCUUCCAAAUAAAGAUGUAUAAAUAUUAAAGAAAUAAAAUAAUAAAUCUAUUUGAACAUACAAUAUCAAUGUUUUCUGUAUAUCUACCUAUAAAAGACAGAAUUGUGUUGAUUCUCAAGGCUGAUUUUCUUUGUAUUAAUCAAAGAAUUGUUGAGAUUGGAAAACACGUCUAAGAUCAUCAAGUCCAACCAGCAGCCCAGCACUGCCAUGUUUACCACUAAAAUGUAUCCCAAAGUGCCACAUCUGGAUGUUUGUUCAACACCUCCGCAUUUGGUGACUUCCCCUUUUUCCUGGGCAGCCUGCUCCAAUGCAGCCUGUCCCAAGAAAUUUCAGAGAGAAUAAUUUUUUUCCUAAUAUCUAAUUAGGGUUAGUUAAAAAAAAAAAUCACACAAACAAUCCGGGUAUUUUGGAGUUCCAUCUCCAAUCAGAAGUCUCAGGACAGCAUGAUGAAAAACAAAGGCAAAACCAAAAAUUAUCCCAUAGCACCAAAUUUUUUAUGCAUACUGUAAUAUAUAAUACUGGCCUAUUGAAAGUUAAGAAAAAGGCAGGGUGAUAUCUUAAUGUAUAUUCUGUCUAGUUACUUCUCUGCCUCCACUUCUGGAGGCCUGUGAAACAUUAUCUUUUGACCUCUACACCAAGAUGGUCUUUUUUGUCAUUAAAUACAAUUUAAUCCAAAACUUUUACAGCUUUAAAACAUAAUAUCAUGUGUCUUCUCUCAGAUAAUCCAUAGGAAGUGAAGGAUUUGUUGCUUUUUGCAGCUACAUUUUAAAAGGAAGUGGGUAUUGGCUAGGAAAAUGUAUCAUAAAAUUACCCACUCUCACCAAUAAACUGCUAAAAAAAAAAAAAAAGCUGGUUUACAGAUUAAGAAGAUCACAAUGUGAGCACACAAUUUAAAGCUAAUGGUUUUAUAGGCCAGAGCCACGAGCAGGGCAUCCUUAUCCUGCAGUGUGAAUAGGAUUAUCCCUGCAAACAUUCCCCUAACAUAGAAUUAAGCUGUCAAGUUUACUUUGCUGCUGCAUGGAGGUAUGCACAAAAUGAACACAAGUUCAGGUCAAGUGUAAUACUGCUCAACUAUCACAGAUUGCUCAUGGGGCAAGGAAAAAUAGGAGGAGAAAAAAGUCAAGAGCUGAAUUGCUGCUGCUAAGCAUAUUUUAGGACAUUAACAUAAUUAGUCUCCAACAGAAUUACUGGAUCAUGCUGAAAAGACGGUGACAACCAUUUAAAUGAAACUUUCUUUAAAAUAUGUAUAUAUUGGACUUUAAACUGCUCAAAUAUCCUUGAUUUUAAAUCCUUCUAAUUUUAUUCACAGAAUUACCAUCACACAAACAUGUUUGCUUCCUUAAUUAUAGAAAACUAUUAAUGUUAGUCUAAAAAUACACAAAAUUACAACUGUAAGCAGUUCAAUAUUCAUGAAUUCUCUAUUACACUCCCACAAAAACAGUCAUAAAGUAGGUUAUGUAUUUUUUUCCACACAGUUUGCAGACAUCAGCGGCCUAAAGAUAUUUCCAUACCCCCACACACAUCUGCAAAUCUGUCUAACUUUGUCUAUCAGUGUUUGCUUGUUAGACUGGAAAAUGAAAAGGAACUAUGUUGAAAUUGUUACAGAGGUAGAAGCAAUUGCAUAUAAUAAUGUCUGUAAAAUCUCAAGCAGCAUAGAGACUCACCAAGCAUGAGUAGGUUAUUCUCCUUUCCCAUACAAGUAAGGCACUGAAUCAAACCAUCAGGAAAUACCAAGAAAGUUCAUGUGAUCCAUAACAAAACUAGAGAGAAAUUUGUCUUUCCCAUGCCAAAACAUCAGUCUCCCUUAAAACUUAUGUAAUCAUGUCUGUGGAAAAACAACAAAAUAUGAAGCUGAGGUUAUUGAACACAAAAAUCUGUCAAAAUCCCCCUGAGCAUUACAGGAGCGGACUGGAAGGGCACUGGGGAGAAAGCACCACGUAUGUUUUGCUCAAUUCCUGUGUUCUCUUACAAAGGUAGUGUUGAUUUGCCUACUCUCUGGGCAUUGGAAGAGAGUUAAACUAAGGUCAAUUAAUUUUGUGUUCUCUUUGAUGUGACAAGCCUAAGCAAACUGCAUAAUAUAUCAAAGAAAACGUUCCCUUUGCUAAAUUUUAGGAUUUCUAGAGGGAGGGGGGUUGUUAUUUUCCACAGCUAUUCUCUGAAUAUUUACAAAAUGAAAAUAAAAAUAGGAACAAUAUAAAUUGAAAAAUCCAGCCUAAGUGAUUGCCUGGGAAAAAUUAUAAAUUUGCAAUAUUUUCUUUUAUAAAAAAGACAAGAUAGUUCUAAUUAUAACCAAACAAAGUUUAGGACAUGAGCUUUUGUACACUGGUAAUAUGUGAACAAGGAAGAUCAUGUGAAUAACUUUAUGCUAGAGCAGAUCUUAUUUACGUAGAUAAAGGUUCCUGUCGAUGGAAAGUGAGAAAAGAAUGCCUUGAAAGAUUUUUAAAAGUUAAAUAUAAUUACCUGAGAACAAACUAAACUUAUCUAAUCAGCAGAUACUGCUCAAUGUUUUCAUGUUAUCCAUCAGAUGACAAAAACAAAUUGUAACACCAAAGAAUUUCUUCUUUAGAAUACAUACUUUCCUUACAAAAAUGUAUGAACAAGUGUUCUUUCCUAUUCAUCCCAUUUUCAAAUUUCUUGCAUUAUUUAUUUAAAUUAUUUUCCGUUUUGAAGACUUUUAUUACUACUUUUUAAAGAAAAAAACAUGUUCCAGAACAUCCUAUCUUUCAAAAGAAAAUAAAAAACAGUGAUGUUACGUGUUCAUAUUAUUGUUUUAAAAUACUGAAUGUUACUAUAAUAAUAAUUUGGGGAUUAUAUUGCAGCUUAUAUUUUACAGGUACCUUGAUAUCAAAGCAUGUGACUAACAGCUAAGUAUAAAUUGAAUAAAUACAGCAAAAGAGCAUCAGUAAAUAAAAGAUGUGAAAUGGAUCCAAGUAACUUCCCACUAUAUGAAGAAAGUACCUCUUCAUAUAUUAAGUUAUAAUAUCAGAAUAUGUUAGACUAAGCCAAUUAUUUAGGGCAACCUGAAGUUUCAGUUUCAUUUUUAAUGCCCAAGUCAAAUGACUUCUAUUUUUAAUCUGCUAUAAGCUUAAAUCUGCAAGACUGAAGAAAAGCAAUAGACUUUUGAACUUCUGGAAGUUGUCUGUGAAGUCAUAGCAGGAAAAUUACCAGUUAAUAUUAUAAAUGUAUAUAAGACAUUGAAGCUAGUCUAGACCUUUGGAGAUUCUCAUAGUAAGAAUUUCUGUCAGUAUGAGAGAAAAAGAUAUGAGGUAUUCGCUGAAUUGCCAAGGCUUCUCAAAACGUUUCUGAGCCUUUCAGCAAGGCAAAUUUGAUAUAAAUUGUGGCACACUGAUGAGAAAUAGGAGCCCCUUCACCUUCUCAUCCUUUCCUCAAAUGGAGCAGCCCUGUUCAAUGUAAUAAUUUCUGUUGAUGGAUAUACUGCUACUCUGACUGCAACUCAUGGCCACAGCUGAGGAACAUCCUGCUAAAACCAGGUGGAGCUUUCCAGUAGGUCUGUGCAAACAGCAGGUGGGUUUCUUUGUUAAAUGUACUAUCUUCCUCCAACAUAAAUUAUCAGUAACAAUAUCCUAAUGCCAAAGCAAGUGAAUUUUUCUACUGAUUUGUAUUUGAAUUGACAGCUUGUACAAUAUUGACUUCCACUUACUACACACCUCCAGCUGAGUUAGUGAAAUGGUGAAGGUCUCAGUAGUUGAAUCUUUCCACUGUUGUAGUCUCAGAACGCGCAAUUCCAUUUAAUAAACUUGUCAGAACUACCCAACAAUAAUAUCUAUCUUUAAUAAUCAAUUUUUGGCUCCUUAUUUCCCGCAAUACCCCCACACACUGCAGUUUGCCUGAAGCAGAUAUAUAUAACAAGGAAAGGACAAAUCAGUAGAAUCUAUAUGACCUACCUCCAUAUUCUCAUGCUUGAUACAUGCUGAUCACACACCUACACUCAAAUGCAUCACCUCUGAAGCAGUAGAGUACCUAAAAAGCACAUCACCUAUCACCUUUGCUUCAGUAUUUUAUCCUAAGACCAUAGAUAUUCCUGCUAAAUUAUCAUCUUCACUAAACUGUGAUUUUCAGUUGCACUCUGGGCAUGCUGACACUGGCUAUACACUUCCCUGUCAAAGGCUCUGCAAUUUAGCAAACAAGUUAUAUUCACUUCUUUUGCAUCUGAUCUUCCUGAAACUAUUACUACUGGUCAAGUCCAGAGAGGAUUUCUAGAAAAGUCAGAGCUACUGAUUAUGGCUUACAUCUAAAAUCAAACUGGUCAAGGGUGUAAGAAUGUUCAAUUUUUUUCAGCAAAAAUGUCAUAGCUUGAUAAUAUAUUUAAAGAUUAAUACAAUCAUUUCACAGAUUUCAUAGAGAUUAAUUUCUUAAGUAUUUUACUUUUUUUUUUAUAAUUCAUUACUUGUGUGUUAGCAAAUCACAGCAAUAGAAAGGAUGAGAAAAAUGUCUCAAGAAAAGCACAUUGGUCAUGGAUACACGUGCAUCAUUGCUCAUUUGGCACCUUGUAUUACAGUUAAAGGUAACUCUCAUUUAGAUUUAGCUCAUAACUUACCUAGGGUAGCUCAUAAAGUUUGAGCUUUUAACCACCUUGAGAUGCACCUAUUAAUAAAGGAAUCCUUGAAAGAUGAAAUUACUGGUUUUUAGUGCAAAGCAUAGGUUUCUCUCUAGUUCCUAUGAGAUUAUUUAAUCUCACAUUCAAUACAGUGAAGUAUGUAUUUUCACUUUGAUAAAUUCAGUCAAGAACCAUCAUUUAGAGGUCAGUGUGAUACGUACAUGUGUUUCUCAUCCUGCCCCAAGCUUCCCACAAAAUAUGAAACUUUGGUCGAUAUGGACACCUAUGCCUACAAACAGUUCCUCACUGCCAAAACAAAUUAUCAUAUCCAAAUAUUUUCCAUUAUAUUUUUACUAUAUUAUAUAACAGUAUUAGUAAAUCAAAAUUUUCAGUGAAAACACUUUCCUUUAUGAAAACCUAUUUUCUGUUUAAAUAAAAGAUUGUGGACAGCACAGAUAAAGAGUGUUUACACUCAAAGGAAUGGAUAUGGCAUUCCAGGAAUACUAAA